Patella vulgata (common limpet) is the source of this 1664-nucleotide long non-coding RNA. RefSeq lists it as uncharacterized. NCBI's taxonomy places the organism in Eukaryota, Metazoa, Mollusca, Gastropoda, Patellidae. The record is from RefSeq and is a predicted model, not a curated record. The transcript is spliced from 7 exons.
AAGAGUGAACAACAGUCGGCUAUAAAUAAGGCAAACAGAAAACGCACUUCACAAUACUAAGCUUUGCGACACCAAUAUGACUUUCCAUCAUAUUUAUCUACUGGCAUUUUGCUUCGCUGUAUCAACAGUAACAACUGCUUUGCCAUAUCCUUAUGCUCCCCAACCAACCCAGAGAGUGACGGCAAGAUUAAGAGUGAAAAGAUGUGCUCAGCCAUGUUCUAUUGAUAGUAAUUGUUCUGGUGGUCAGAAAUGUUGUUUCUCGGGUCAUUGUGGACGGAUGUGUCAGAACGCUUGCAGAAAGACAGAAAUUCUUUCUCUUGGAUGAAUAGGACUGUAUCCUGGAUAUUUGCUUAAAAUCUUCCUUACCAAAUUCAGUUCUGUAGAUUUAUUAAGUGCACCCGACACAAAUGCAGUGCUUCAGUGCCUCUUACCGAUACCCCCCCCCCCCCCCAACACACAUACACCAAGUAUCUAAUAUUUAUUAAAACAUUAUUUAUAUUCACUUUGUAUCCAAGGCUAUACAUGCUUUCUUUUUAAAUCGUGUAUCCAUAAUAAAAGUCACUUGUAAUUUUGGUAUUUAUUUCAGGCUUGAUUUCUAAGGGAGUACCUUUUAAUAUUGAAGUAUUUAAGUCUAUGUGAUAUUGUUUAGGAUAGUUUAGUGGUAGUGUGGAAUCGCAAUUUGCAGUAUUACGUCUUAACAUUCCCACUGUAACAUAUUCGACUUACUAAAUGAUAGUUGGAAAAUAAAUGUCAUUUAUUAGAACAUUCUUGUUAGUUGUUACAUAAAUCAAACUAACAAGUCAACUACGAGAUAUUCAGCCCCAAACUAAACAGAUAUCACUCAUAUUGUGCAUUUGUCUUUUUAUAAGCAGGUAGCAAUCAAACUAUUUAUCACUCUCUGAUGGACCUUAUACACUAUACUAAAUGUUUCGUAUGCAUGGAAAUGGUGAUAUUUAGAAAUAUUUAGACUAACAUUACCAUGAAUUUUCAACAAUUCUACAACCGACAGUAAACUUAUGUUGUGGACCUUAUUAGUUUGUUAUUUAAAGAUCUUAUUUCCUGCACCAACAACAAUGAUGAAGAGGGAUACAAACCAUGCAGUGCUACUCGUUUUUCCAUAUAUGUCAGUGGAUAUUUUUCGGACUGCCAAUAGAAUUACACGAGACCUGUUUUUUUUUGUGCCACCCGGAAGUUUAAACGUUUGUCUUUGCCAGGUCCCGUCACGGGUUGAAACAAGCGAUGAUGGAAUUCAGGACCCUCUGUUAACAAAUCAGUUCUUACUUAUUCACCGAAGAUGAUAGUCGAAAUUACAAUCACACUGGUUUUCUGUUUAACCGGUAGUUUGGGACUACGAAUUGGCAAUACUGAGCUUUUAGAUCGAUGCAGCACAAUGCGAUGUGGAUUUGGAACGGAAUGUAAGCUGACACAGGUACAGUGUAUCAGAGCACCUUGUCCACCCAUAGCGUCUUGUCAACCUGUAACUAGAAGAGUGAAACCAGGUGUAUGCGCACCUCCAAGAUCUGGUAUGAUGGGGAUAUGUGUUGAGGCGUGUUCUAACGAUGACGAAUGUCCUGGCAAUAGGAAAUGUUGCAGUAACGGGUGUGGUAAAACUUGUCAAGAGCCAUCCUCGAUGCUGCGAUCUGUAAAACAGGGCACAUGUUCAA